This 239-nucleotide long non-coding RNA is filed under the name Pan troglodytes (chimpanzee). Its description in RNAcentral is "long non-coding RNA NONPTRT017190". The record is from RNAcentral. Lineage: Eukaryota; Metazoa; Chordata; Mammalia; Primates; Hominidae.
ACGGAGAUAGAUAACGGAACUGACAGGAACAGAAAACCAAAUGCCGCAUGUUCUAGCUUAUAAGUGGGAGCUAAACAUUGAGUACACAGGGACACAAAGAAGAAAAUGACAGACACUGAGGCCUACUUGAUGGUGGACAGUGGGAAGGAGGACAGAAUACCCGGGAGAAGUUUCCUUUCCCUAAAUAUACCUGCAAUUUUCAAGUCCUUUUAAUUCACACCUUUAAAUGAAAGGGUUGA